Molecule: ribosomal RNA, 510 nt
Filed under: uncultured bacterium
Lineage: Bacteria
Description: partial 16S ribosomal RNA
Rfam family: Bacterial small subunit ribosomal RNA
Source: RNAcentral
GACGAACGCUGGCGGCGUGCCUAAUACAUGCAAGUCGAGCGAAUGACGAGAAGCUUGCUUCUCUGAUUUAGCGGCGGACGGGUGAGUAACACGUGGGCAACCUGCCCUACAGAUUGGGAUAACUCAGGGAAACCUGGGCUAAUACCGGAUAAUCCUUCGAAUCACAUGUUUUGAAGUUGAAAGGCGCUUCGGCGUCACUGUAGGAUGGGCCCGCGGUGCAUUAGCUAGUUGGUUGGGUAACGGCCUACCAAGGCAACGAUGCAUAGCCGACCUGGGAGGGUGAUCGUCCACAGUGGGACUGAGACACGGCCCAAACUCGUACGGGAGGAAGAAUUAGGGAAUCUUCCACAAUGGACGAAAGUGUGAUGGAGCAACGCCGCGUGAGUGAUGAAGGUUUUCGGAUCGUAAAACUCUGUUGUAAGGGAAGAACAAGUACGUUAGGAAAUGAACGUGCCUUGACGGUACCUUAUUAGAAAGCCACGGCUAACUACGUGCCAGCCGCCGCCGUAA